This 495-nucleotide ribosomal RNA is filed under the name uncultured bacterium. RNAcentral's name for it is "partial 16S ribosomal RNA". It matches the Rfam family "Bacterial small subunit ribosomal RNA", at positions 28 to 523 of the family's 1533-position model. The record is from RNAcentral.
GAUGAACGCUAGCGGGAGGCCUAACACAUGCAAGCCGAGCGGUAUUGUUUCUUCGGAAAUGAGAGAGCGGCGUACGGGUGCGUAACACGUGUGCAACCUGCCUUUAUCUGGGGGAUAGCCUUUCGAAAGGAAGAUUAAUACUCCAUAAUAUAUUGAACGGCAUCGUUUAAUAUUGAAAGCUCCGGCGGAUAGAGAUGGGCACGCGCAAGAUUAGCUAGUUGGUGAGGUAACGGCUCACCAAGGCGAUGAUCUUUAGGGGGACCGAGAGGGUGGGCCCCCACACUGGUACUGAGACACGGACCAGACUCCUACGGGAGGCAGCAGUGAGGAAUAUUGGUCAAUGGGUGCAAGCCUGAACCAGCCAUCCCGCGUGAAGGACGACUUCCUUAUGGGUUGUAAACUUCUUUUGUAUAGGGAUAAACCUACCCUCGUGAGGGUAGCUGAAGGUACUAUACGAAUAAGCACCGGCUAACUCCGUGCCAGCCGCCGCGGUAA